AAAUUUAAACAUUAGUGCCUAAAUUGAAAAUUUUUAAAGUUGAUUGACCAAAACAGGAACUUUUAGGUGAUAGUUUACACUAGAAUUAAUAAAACAAUGCCCCAACUCUAACAAAUAGAAGUCCUUUGAAAAAAAGCACACGACAUUCAAGCUAUACCAGGAAAACAGAGUAAAGCAUUCUUCGAUGUUAAAGCCUGCCUCUAAAUGUAGAAAAACAUUAACUAUAAAUUGGAAUAAAACAAGCAAUUAUGGUUGAAAGUUCAACUUUCGAAACAGCAGCCGUGAUCAAAGACAGGAGCAGAUGAGCGCUAUGAUUAAAUACUUAUUAGAUGUCAGACACUGUCAUGGUGAGAGUAGAAUGCAAUCUAUGCACAUCGACAUCCCUUACAAGCAAUGCAAACGGAUAACCUAUCUUCAUCACCUGUGCCACUAGAGAGAAGUAAAGCACACACUAUAUCCUCGGGUCAAUAGACUUUGGUGCAAGUGCUGUAUGCUUUUCUUAAAAAGAGAAAGAACGAAAGUUUUGUUUGUAUACCACAAAAGGCUCUUCAUCAUCUUUUGGCAUCUUGAGAAGGUCCUCCAAUCCGGUUCUCACCCUUUGAUCCUUCCAGGAAGCAUCAGAAUCUGGUGACACACUUCUUGCAUUGCUAGGAUCAGCAUUUGGUAUUUGUCCCAAUAGACUUUGUCAAAGUGCUGUAUGCUUUUCUUAAAAAGCGAAAAAGAAUAGAAGUUUUGUUUGUAUACCACAAAAGGCUCGUCAUCUUUUGGCAUCUUGAGAAGGUCCUCCAAUCUGGUUCUCACCCUUUUGAUCCUUCCGGGAAGCAUCAGAAUCUGGUGAUACACUUCUUGCAUUGCUAGGAUCAGCGUUUGGUAUUUGUCCGGUAGAUUUUUGUUUGAUAGCCUUGUCUUGCACCACAGCAGAACUGCUA
RNAcentral lists this long non-coding RNA (929 nucleotides) under Gossypium raimondii (Peruvian cotton). RNAcentral describes it as "long non-coding RNA (GRAI_LNC004789)". Lineage: Eukaryota; Viridiplantae; Streptophyta; Magnoliopsida; Malvales; Malvaceae. The record is from RNAcentral.